GUCCCGGUAUUCGGAGGUUCGAAUCCUUCCGUCCCAG
RNAcentral lists this transfer RNA (37 nucleotides) under Neobyrnesia suberosa. Its description in RNAcentral is "partial tRNA-Gln". RNAcentral also lists the same sequence under 66 other names. Lineage: Eukaryota; Viridiplantae; Streptophyta; Magnoliopsida; Sapindales; Rutaceae. The record is from RNAcentral.